This 99-nucleotide ribosomal RNA is filed under the name Theileria orientalis. RNAcentral's name for it is "16S ribosomal RNA". The record is from RNAcentral. Lineage: Eukaryota; Apicomplexa; Aconoidasida; Piroplasmida; Theileriidae.
AUUGUAAUCUAACUUUAUUUAAUACUCUAGUAUUAACCUUACACUGUUAAAAUGGUGUUGGAAAAAAUAAAGUUAACAGAUAAAUUCCAUUUGAACAAU